AAACAUAGCCUUUAGCAAACCUAGUAUUAAAGGUAACGCCUGCCCAGUGAAACUUAAACGGCCGCGGUAUCCUAACCGUGCAAAGGUAGCGUAAUCACCUGUCUUAUAAAUAAAGACCUGUAUGAACGGCUAAAUGAAUAUUUAACUGUCUCCUUUAACCUAUCAGUGAAACUGAUCUUUCAGUACAAAAGCUGAAAUAUUACUAUAAGACGAGAAGACCCUGUGGAGCUUUUAAAUUUUUUUUUCAUAACAUUUAUAUUUAACCCUAUGUUUCUGAUCAUAAAUUUUUGAGUUUGGGGCGACUUUUGGAGUAAAACAAAACCUCCAAGAAUAGGGUUUUUACCCCUACCCUCGGCCAACCAGCCUAAAAUAUAGACCCAGUACUACUGACCAACGAACCAAGUUACCCCAGGGAUAACAGCGCCAUCUUCUUCAAGAGUUCAUAUCGACAAGAAGGUUUACGACCUCGAUGUUGGAUCAGGACACCCAAAUGGUGUAGCCGCUAUUAAAGGUUCGUUUUGUUCAACGAUUAACAGUCCUAC
RNAcentral lists this ribosomal RNA (542 nucleotides) under Anolis quercorum. RNAcentral describes it as "partial 16S ribosomal RNA". It matches the Rfam family "Bacterial large subunit ribosomal RNA", at positions 1811 to 2599 of the family's 2925-position model. Lineage: Eukaryota; Metazoa; Chordata; Lepidosauria; Squamata; Anolidae. The record is from RNAcentral.